UACGUAGGGGGCAAGCGUUAUCCGGAUUUACUGGGUGUAAAGGGAGCGUAGACGGCGGUGCAAGCCAGAUGUGAAAGCCCGGGGCUCAACCCCGGGACUGCAUUUGGAACUGUGCUGCUAGAGUGUCGGAGAGGCAGGCGGAAUUCCUAGUGUAGCGGUGAAAUGGGUAGAUAUUAGGAGGAACACCAGUGGCGAAGGCGGCCUGCUGGACGAUGACUGACGUUGAGGCUCGAAAGCGUGGGGAGCAAACAGG
This 253-nucleotide ribosomal RNA is filed under the name uncultured bacterium. RNAcentral's name for it is "partial 16S ribosomal RNA". It matches the Rfam family "Bacterial small subunit ribosomal RNA", at positions 524 to 776 of the family's 1533-position model. The record is from RNAcentral.